CUUGCCCUACGGGGGGCAGCAGUGGGGAAUAUUGCGCAAUGGGCGAAAGCCUGACGCAGCGACGCCGCGUGAGGGAUGAAGGUCUUCGGAUCGUAAACCUCUGUCAGCAGGGAAGAACGGUCACUGUGCUAAUCAGCAGUGAAUUGACGGUACCUGCAAAGGAAGCACCGGCUAACUCCGUGCCAGCAGCCGCGGUAAUACGGAGGGUGCGAGCGUUAAUCGGAAUUACUGGGCGUAAAGCGCUCGUAGGGGGAAUGUCAAGUCAAGGGUGAAAUCCCCGCGCCCAACGGGGGAACUGCCAUGGA
RNAcentral lists this ribosomal RNA (305 nucleotides) under uncultured bacterium. RNAcentral describes it as "bacterial SSU rRNA". It matches the Rfam family "Bacterial small subunit ribosomal RNA", at positions 333 to 630 of the family's 1533-position model. The record is from RNAcentral.